Long non-coding RNA from Sarcophilus harrisii (Tasmanian devil), 2510 nucleotides. Lineage: Eukaryota; Metazoa; Chordata; Mammalia; Dasyuromorphia; Dasyuridae. The record is from Ensembl.
AGAUAACUUACAAACCUUUCAAAUGAGGCUGUGGAAUCUCAUUUGUUAUACCCACAUGUUGGAGAGUUUUUUUGCCUUCCCUUGUAAGGAUAGGUCACUAGUACCAAAGGGAGUUCCUAUUAAACCUCUGAGACAAAGACUUAUUUCUCUUUUCAGAAUAGGACCAGAGAAACAUCCAAAAAUGACCUCACAAAAAAAAAAUUGACUUCACAAUUAAAAGAAACAACAUUUUUUUUUCCCCCUUUGGGAAAUCGCUUCUUAAUUAUGAAGUGAAAGUCUAGCUGGGCAGACCUGUCCUGAGGAUAAUGUGGAACCCAAGAAGAAUUAGUCUCCACAAAUCUGCCCUUUCUUUCCCAGAACUGGGUGGGAUUGCUCUGUUCCAUGAUAGUGGCUAAUGGGAAUGCUGUUUCCAGUGUACAUAUCUCCAGACUUCUUUACAAGCCAUUAGGACUCAACAUCUGUCUUGUUUUAGGAAUAAGUGGAUGACACUGCAAUCCCCAAGUAGCAAUUAAGGCAGUGUCUCUGUGUCAGCCCCUACCAGCUAAUCCAUUUUUUUCCUUGUUUCUUAGCCAACUCCCUUUUCCUUUUCCUCUUUUCCUUGCCAUUCAGUUUUUCCUUCCUGCCACCUCCCUGUUUCCUAAGAUUGCUGAUGGUAUCUUUCUUUCAUUUAGCAAUUUCUCUUCUUAGAAAGUAAGCUAGGCUUAACUCAGGUGCCUAAAACUUUCUCUGCCUCUCAAGUUUUUCUACAGUGGUUUUCAUAAUAUUGUAAAUAAUCCCUAAGAAUCGGUGACCCACCAUUGGAAGAACACUGGUUUUGGAAUUCCAACGAUGCUGGCUCUCCAAGAUAUAUGACUCUGGCAGGUCAUUAAAGCCUUACUUUUACUUUUCUCUUUGUAAAACAGAGAUAACCUUACCUACCUCACAGGGUUGUUGUGAGGGUUAAGUGAGAUAAUUGUAUGUUAAUCACUUUGUAAGCCUUAUUAGCACUAUGCUAUUACCUAAAACCUGUUCCUUGGGAUCUUAGCACAUCAGAACAGGAGGUGAAAUGAGAAAUUUUCCACCCAGAAAUCCCUGACUAUUCAGCUUGAGCUAAGACUGGUUAAACAGACUAGGUUCAAAAGUAUAAUAGUUGCCCAAAGCCUAAUUCUAGAGCUGAGGCCUAGAUGUCAAGAGAUCCAGGUUCCAGACCCAGCUCUGUUAUUUACUCACUAUGUGACCUUAGAACACUAGCCUUAAAUGGACCAUAAUUUGUUCCUCUGUAAAAUGAGGGAUGUGGUCUUUAAGGUCUCUCUCUCUCCAUCUCUUACAUUCCAGCCUUCCAACUUGCCCAUCUGUUAUGGUGGCUGAAGAGAGGAAUAACAUUAGAAAUCUUGAUGUGCCUGAAAAACUGAAGGCUGUUUGUUUUCCUUUCUUAGUAAGUGUAGCAACUGCCUGGCCCUCAAAUAUCAGUGGGUGCCCCAUUCCCAGUCUUUUAAAUCAUAGCUGUGGUGAGAACACUUUUUAAGUUCUCAAGUUUUCAACAUUUUGUUUUUAACUUUUUUUCCCAGACAACUUUUAUUAUUAUUAUUAUUAACUCUUUUCUACUAUGGCAACAGCUAUGCAAUGCAAAUAAAUUGUUUUUAAUCCUAAUGACUGGUUUCUCAAAGCCAGAACUGCUUUAGGAAGUAGGAACAUAUCUUUGGGAAAGAGGGGUGAUCCAGAUCUUUAAGAAUUUAUAGUCUCUCUUUUCCAGGUCACAUCAUGACCAGGGUUAUUUACAAAGUGCCUUAAAAAAAAAAGGGGGGGGGGGAGCAAAAGUCCAGAAAAGCAACUUCUCUGGUGCCUAUUUUAAUUUAAAUACCAAAUCCUAAACCCUCAUUCACAGAUUAUUUCUUAUUCUGUGUCACUUUCAAACACUUGAGGGUGUAGAUCAUUCUCUUCACAAGGGAAAACAAACAUCUUUCCAGUCCUUACCCAUUUCCUGGCCUUCUAGGGAUUCUUUAGGAGACUUCUUUGCUGUUGCUGAAUGUUCAUGGGAUGCAUCUGUCAGACUGUGAAAUUCCUAUUGGACCUUCACCAGUCCAUGAAAUGCAGUCAUUGUUAUUUCUCUCUGGGAUCUUUCAGGGUCUAGUUUUCUAUGAGCAUUUUUUUUAUCCAGAAAUGAAUUGUGACUGUGAAAUUAUCAUUUGUAUUUCCAUUAUUUCACCCGUUCCAUUGCUGGUCUUUAGGAAACUAGUGAAAAGUAUACACAACAUAAUUUCAGCAUAAAAGAAAGUACAAGUGCCUGGUUUUUCUUGAGCUUGUACUCAGAGUUAGGUAUGUUAUGCUGUUAUUGUGAACCGUAAGCAUUACAGUAACUUGUUACGGGGUCAUUUGGUUUGUUUUCAAAUCCUAAUUCUGCUUUGCACUUUUUUUUGUUAACUUUUGUGUGUGUGCACGUGUAUAUGUGUGUAUAUAUACAAUUGUAAGAGCUGGGAGAAUGGGUCUUCCAGUCUUGAUAUUCAUAACAGAUGAGAACUGUAUUUUUUUGC